UACGGGGGGGGCAAGCGUUGUUCGGAAUUACUGGGCGUAAAGGGCUCGUAGGUGGCCAACUAAGUCAGACGUGAAAUCCCCAGGCUUAACCUGGGAACUGCGUCUGAUACUGGUUGGCUUGAAUCCGGGAGAGGGAUGUGGAAUUCCAGGUGUAGCGGUGAAAUGCGUAGAUAUCUGGAGGAACACCGGUGGCGAAGGCGACAUCCUGGACCGGUAUUGACGCUGAGGCGCGAAAGCCAGGGGAGCAAACGGG
RNAcentral lists this ribosomal RNA (253 nucleotides) under uncultured bacterium. RNAcentral's name for it is "partial 16S ribosomal RNA". It matches the Rfam family "Bacterial small subunit ribosomal RNA", at positions 524 to 776 of the family's 1533-position model. The record is from RNAcentral.